CGGCUGUCUGGGUCUGCAAAUGACGCUGAGGCCUCGAAAGCAUGGGUAGCGAACAGGAUUUAGAUACCCUGGUAGUCCAUGCCGUAAACGAUGAUUACUAAGUGUUGGAGGGUUUCCGCCCUUCAGUGCUGCAGCUAACGCAUUAAGUAAUCCGCCUGGGGAGUACGACCGCAAGGUUGAAACUCAAAAGAAUUGACGGGGGCCCGCACAAGCGGUGGAGCAUGUGGUUUAAUUCGAAGCUACGCGAAGAACCUUACCAGGUCUUGACAUCUUCUGACAGUCUAAGAGAUUAGAGGUUCCCUUCGGGGACAGAAUGACAGGUGGUGCAUGGUUGUCGUCAGCUCGUGUCGUGAGAUGUUGGGUUAAGUCCCGCAACGAGCGCAACCCUUAUUACUAGUUGCCAGCAUUAAGUUGGGCACUCUAGUGAGACUGCCGGUGACAAACCGGAGGAAGGUGGGGACGACGUCAAAUCAUCAUGCCCCUUAUGACCUGGGCUACACACGUGCUACAAUGGAUGGUACAACGAGUCGCGAGACCGCGAGGUUAAGCUAAUCUCUUAAAACCAUUCUCAGUUCGGACUGUAGGCUGCAACUCGCCUACACGAAGUCGGAAUCGCUAGUAAUCGCGGAUCAGCAUGCCGCGGUGAAUACGUUCCCGGGCCUUGUACACACCGCCCGUCACACCAUGAGAGUUUGUAACACCCAAAGCCGGUGGGGUAACCUUUUAGGAGCUAGCCGUCUAAGGUGGGACAGAUGAUUAGGGUGAAGUCGUAACA
RNAcentral lists this ribosomal RNA (775 nucleotides) under Pediococcus pentosaceus. RNAcentral describes it as "bacterial SSU rRNA". It matches the Rfam family "Bacterial small subunit ribosomal RNA", at positions 722 to 1493 of the family's 1533-position model. The record is from RNAcentral. Lineage: Bacteria; Bacillati; Bacillota; Bacilli; Lactobacillales; Lactobacillaceae.